AUGGAAAUACAUAGGAGGCAUUACUUUCAGAGCAACCUUUGUGCAUUCUUCACUCAGCAUUGCCCAGGCAUGCCAAAAGUUUGGAUACCUAUGCAUGUAAAGCAAACCAUCCUGAAUCAAGCACACAUUCCCUGUGCAACACCUCAACCUGCACAACUACACAUUUCUUCCACUGAUUUCCUGCUUUUCAUCCCCUCUGAAAUGUUUUGGAUUCAUCCUUUCCUCCAAGCUUCAGGAGCUUCUCCCCCAGCAAAUGCAACAGUUGUGCUGCUAGGAGCAUGGACUUUCUGUCCUCAGCAUCAAAAGAAGUCAUCCCAAAUAUGCAGAAAAUGCAUUUCAAUAUCCUCCAGCAGCAAGAGCAGAAAUCAAGCAGCAAAGGUGCAAUAGAAGAGGCUGUGGCUGCCAGGCUCCAUCCCUUCCCCUUCCUUUUGCACUAUCUGAUAUCCAAGUGGGAGGUUUCCAUUUGAAGUGUGUUUGUGCCCCAUCAGUAGACAACUAUGGGAAACAGAGUUCUCCUAGCAAGAGCUAAAUUGGCACCUAUGUUUUCAGGGGAAUAGAGAAGGAAAAAGGAAAAUAUUUAAGUGAUCAAAAAAAAAAAAAAAAGGAGUGUAAGAGGCUGUUUGUAAAUAUAUAUAUAUAAAAGGUAAAGUGCUCACAUUGAGGCAGUGAUAAAUGGAGAUUUGCAAGGACAAGUGAUGGUGUCAUGGUUUUAUGAUUUUUGGUUAUCAAUAUUCCACAUCAUAACAUCAUGUAGUGCACUGGGAGUUAAAAAGUUAAUGCUCCAGUUCCGUGGAUCGUGGAUAGUUCUGGGUACCUAGUUCUCAGAAGAGAAGAAGUACAUUUCCCAGAGGACUGCUCACUGUUCUGUUACCAUUUUACAUUCAGAGGGAAAGAUAAAAACUGUUCACAUAUCAUGAGACGUCCCCUUUUUGAUCUCUUCCCCUUCUGCUUGUCCCGGCAGCAUCUCUCUUCCUAGCCAUCUCGCUGCCAGAAUUAGAGUAAGGCCUACCUUUUUUGGACACUCUCUCUCUCAUUUUAUUUGUUUUAUUAGUUUCAAUUCCAAUUAUAUUGUAUUAUAUUGUAUUAUAGUGUGUUAUUUUGUGUUCCGAUAUCUUAUUUAGUAAAUUAGUUUGUUUCUUCUCAGAUCGUUGCCGCUGUUUUGUUUUUAGGCCCAUCUUCCUACCCUUUCCCCUUUGUCUUUUCCCAGGACGUGUGUUGCCCUGCCCUGUUCGUCAUGGAACCGGGCCAGACCUGCCUGUAAACCACUGACAGAUGGUAACUCAAGCAGCUUCAUCAGAGCUGUGCAAACAAUGACUCCUUGUUUGAAAGCAAACACAGGGACUGCUUUCCUCAUUCACUUCUUGCAGGGAAAGUAGCCAGAAACUAC
RNAcentral lists this long non-coding RNA (1387 nucleotides) under Numida meleagris (helmeted guineafowl). Its description in RNAcentral is "lncRNA (ENSNMEG00000014422.1)". Lineage: Eukaryota; Metazoa; Chordata; Aves; Galliformes; Numididae. The record is from RNAcentral.